GCGAGCGAGCAGCGCGGAGGCCACGCUACAGCGCCAAAUUCCACACCAAACAAAGGCGCGGCGACGAACGAGCAGCCAACACCCGCACCACCUCCCCUCACCGCACCGCACUACUCCUCCUUGGCUCCAAUGUCUAAUCCACUCGCUAAUCACCUCCGCCGCACCACCAAAUAAGUACGCCCACCCCCGCGACGGAAAGCUAAUCUCUCCUCCCUCCCCCUUUCUUCUUCAUACUCCCACCAUCUCCACCACCACCACCACCAUCCUCUUUCUCCCACCCACCUUUAAGCCGCCCCAUCCCCCGCUGCGCUGAGUCACUUCCUCACGCCACCCGCCGACUGAUUGCUCGAUCGAGGUGCGGUGCGCGGCCAUGAUCUCUAUAGGCGGGUCCUCCUCGUCCUCCUCCUCCGCCGCCGCAGCGGGGGUCCGGAUGGGCGGGGCCAAGCGGCGGGGGAAACCGGGCGGGGCCGCCGCGCCGGGGGCCGCGGGCCCGCCGCAGACCAGGUGGCGGAGCGGCACGCAGGAGCGGAUCUACGGCCGGCGCCUGCUGGACGCGCUCCGGGCCACGCGGUCGGGCGCCGCCUCGUCCCCGCAGCCGCGCGCCGUCAAGGCCGCCGCCGACUCGGCGCUGGCGCUCACGGCGCGCGGGCAGUCGCGCUGGAGCCGCGCCAUCCUGCUGGCCGGCGCCGCGUCCUGCCGCCGCCGCGUGCUCGUCAAGGCCGGCGGGAAGAUCCGCCGCCACCGCCGCCCGCAGGCGCGCGCCGCCGCCGCGGCGUCCAAGGCCGCGGCCGCCGCUUCCGCCAGCGAACCGCCGUUGCUCAAGGAGAAGAAGGUGAAGGACCGGCUCCGCGUGCUGGGCCGGCUCGUCCCCGGGUGCCGGAAGCUGCAGGCCCCCGACCUGCUCGAGGAGACGGCCGACUACGUGGCCGCGCUGGAGAUGCAGGUCAAGGCCAUGCGCGCGCUCGCCGACGCGCUCGCGGCGGCCCAGCUGUCCUCGCCUCCCCCGCCGGCCGCCGCCGCCGCCGACGAGGCCGAGAUGGAGAGGUGAGGGUCUGAGCCUCGCCUCGCCUCCGAGAGGGAGAUUGAUGACACGAUGGCUCGGGGAAAUAAGGCGAUUGAUUACUGGAUGGAUGGACGGAUGGAUUGUUACCGCGAGAGGGGGUCCUGGGAUUCCAGGAGGGUAUUGUGAUUCCGAUGAUGAUGAUUGCUGCUGCUGCUGCUGCUGCUGAUUUGUAAAUUCUUGAUGCUACUACUUGUAUAAGUAAUGCUGCUCUGCUCCUCUCCUGUGUUCUUGAAAUGUUCUUCCUCCUCCUGAAACAAGACGGGGGGAUUCCUGUGCCUGUCUGUCUCCUGCGGAUUGGAUUGGAUUGGAAUUGGAUUAUGCUUUUGUUU
Molecule: long non-coding RNA, 1392 nt
Filed under: Triticum aestivum (bread wheat)
Lineage: Eukaryota; Viridiplantae; Streptophyta; Magnoliopsida; Poales; Poaceae
Description: long non-coding RNA (TAES_LNC025433)
Source: RNAcentral